This 458-nucleotide ribosomal RNA is filed under the name uncultured bacterium. RNAcentral describes it as "partial 16S ribosomal RNA". It matches the Rfam family "Bacterial small subunit ribosomal RNA", at positions 338 to 795 of the family's 1533-position model. The record is from RNAcentral.
CCUACGGGGGGCUGCAGUGAGGAAUAUUGGUCAAUGGGUGAGAGCCUGAACCAGCCAAGUCGCGUGAGGGAGUACUGCCCUAUGGGUUGUAAACCUCUUUUGUCGGGGAGCAAAAGCCGGACGUGUCCGGCUGUGAGAGUACCCGAAGAAAAAGCAUCGGCUAACUCCGUGCCAGCAGCCGCGGUAAUACGGAGGAUGCGAGCGUUAUCCGGAUUUAUUGGGGUUAAAGGGUGCGCAGGCGGAUUUUUAAGUCAGCGGUCAAAUCGUGGGGCUCAACCCCAUCCAGCCGUUGAAACUGGGGAUCUAGAGUGUGCGAGAGGUAUGCGGAAUGCGUGGUGUAGCGGUGAAAUGCAUAGAUAUCACGCAGAACCCCGAUUGCGAAGGCAGCAUACCGGUGCACAACUGACGCUCAGGCACGAAAGCGUGGGUAUCGAACAGGAUUAGAUACCCUAGUAGUC